CAUUACGAAAUUCUUAUUAAGGACGUCAGGGAAAUUGAGUCCGGCAGAGUCCCAUUUCCGAAUUACAGGUCCAGUGGAAGCACCAACUAAUGGCAUUGCCUUUCAAGUGCAGAGGUAAUGCACUGCAUGAGCAAUAUAUAUGUACUAUCAGAGCCUCAUAGCUUCAUUGUAUCUCAGCUCUUUCAUAAGGUAAAAAUAUCAUUUUAUCAAUUAAUUAAGUUUAUAUCAAGACUAAAGGAUUCAUAAAAAAAAAUGAAAAAAUUUUUUUUUGGCAUUUCAUGGACAUAGGUAAAUUAAUGUUGAUUAAAAUUGAGCAAUGAGUGAGCAUUCACCUGAGGUGAAUAAAUAAUUGAAAUGGGACCAUGGAAUAAUCCAAGAAAGUAGAGAUGGAGAAGUGUGCCAGUUUUAUCAUUUCAUGUGCUCCACCGAUUUCCCCAUCUUCACCUAACUGCUUUAACAUAUAUAUUUAAUAGAAAAAGCCAUCCCUGAGACGUAAUCUCUUCAACUUCCUAUCCUGUUUCUAACCCAAAGAUAGCUCGCAUCACAUGAGAUCUAACGUUACCCAUUUUUGGGGUAACAUGCUAUUUAAUGGUGCCCAGUGUUCUCUUACAGUUAAUAAUAAUAAUAAUAAUUAAAUUCUACCCAAAAAAUAAAAAUAAAAAUUUUAAAAAUGACUAAAACAUAGAUUAAUCGAUCUGUUUUCACCCCAAAUCUAAGCCAUUGGCCUUGUACUUAUGAUCUUGAUGAGUAUUCAUAUGCAAACCGUAACUUGAUGGUAUUUUAUCCUUAGUCUAACAUUCAUGACAAUGGCCGAAUGCAUUUCCCAAUCUAUCUGGACCUUGUGGCUGCAAUAUUUAUUAAUUAUUACUUCAAAUACUACAUCCACAUGUUAGAUGUUGCUUUCUUUUGGGCUAAAAAAGUUAUUAUUCUUCCGUAUUCUAUGCCAUGCAGGCUCCAACACGUGUCAAAAGCUAUACUUAAUCUCAAGUUGUAGCUCAGUCGCAGGACUGAGAGCUGAAAAAAAAAAAUGGAAAUUCCACUAUAUAUUUUUGUUUCUCCUUCUUGUGCCCCUCCUUCGAUCUUCUUCUCCUUCUUCUUCUUUGCCAAUGAAGAAACAAGAUGGUACGUAGACCUUAAAACUCCACCACGAAAUAAUUCAACCCACCACGCCACAAAGAGGGGCACCCCUAACUCCCAUAUAAGCCAGGGAAAAGCAGUAAACAGUCCCAAUUUACGCUAUGGCUUAUCUGGGGAUUUUCAUGGUGGCUUUCACGGCUCUUCUUAUCUCAAAGAUUUGGCAAGUGGUGAAGGUUUGCUUGUGGAGACCCUAUGCUUUGACUAGAAGCUUUAGAAAUCAAGGAGUUAAGGGGCCAUCUUACUCCCUCUUCUCAGGUUCUCUAAAAGAAAUGAAAAGGCUGAAGAUGGAUGCCAUUCAACUUAUUUUGGAUACAACCUCUGACGACUUCACUUGCAAAGUUCUGCCCCACUACCACAAAUGGUGCCCACAAUACGGUGAGUUUCACCUAUAAUAAAUUUCCAUUUGUUCAGAACAGAGGGCAUAUACUCACUGCUUACUGCUUAGGUGUGUUUUUGGCUUUAUGGUCAUUUGCCUAUUAAUUAUCAGAGUAAUUAGCUACUAGCCAACUAGUUAGGUGCUGUAGUAUUAUUGUCUAUGAUGGAGCACUGGUGUUUCUUAUGACCCAGGAGAAACAAUUCUUUAUUGGCGUGGGACUAGGCCAGUGGUUUGCAUAACGAAUCCUGAUUUGGCCAAGCAAAUAUUAUCAAACAAAUUUGGUUUCUAUAUGAAGCCCAAGUUUAAUCCUGCAAUAAUAGCACUGACAGGGAAUGGAGUAGCCGUAGUCAAUGGAUAUGAAUGGGUUAGACGCAGAAGGAUUGUCAAUCCUGCUUUCUCUGCCGACAAGCUCAAGGUUAUGAUAAAGAAAAUGGCAAUAUGUACUGUAUCCAUGCUUGAAGAAUGGAAAAAUCAGGCCAAUGCUGCCGAGGAUCAAUGUAAGAAGAUAGAAAUUAAUGGAGAAUUUUGAAAGCUUACUGCUGAUAUAAUAGCCCACACUGCCAUUGGCAGUCGCUAUUCUCAAGGGAAAGAAGCCUUUGAAGCACAAAAUGAGCUCCAACAUUAUUGUGCAGCUUUAAUUCUGGAUAUUUUGAUCCCUGGCAGCCAGUAAAUACCUCACUCCUAACCAUAUAAUUUUCCUUACAAUUUUGAAUUUAUCAAGUUUUCCUCUUGACUUUUUCUUUUCUUUCCUCCCUUUUUGGUUCUUUAAUGAUCAAGUUAUCUUCCAACUUCAUAAAACCUUCAACUAUGGAAGCUAGAUAGAAGAGUACGGGAUUCUGUGAGGGACAUCAUAAAGAGAAGACUGAAUUCCACCAAUUCAGAAUGCAAUUAUGGAGAUGAUCUACUUGGUUUGAUGAUUGAAGCAUCAGAAAACACUGAAAGCAAUAAGAGCACCAAGUUAAACAUGGAUGAAAUAGUGGAGGAGUGCAAAACAUUCUUUUUGGCAGGGCAUGAAACCUCCUCCAAUUUGCUAACUUGGACAGUCUUCUUGUUGAGCUUACAUCAAGACUGGCAAACAAGAGUCAAAGAAGAGGUGCUGAAAGAAUGCGGAAUGGGGAUUCCUGAUUCAGACAGGUUGGCCAGGUUAAGAUUGGUAAAUUUGGUUCUGCUGGAGGCCUUGAGGUUGUACUGUCCUGUAGUAGAAAUGUUCAGGGAAGCAUCAAAAGACAUGAAAUUGGGGAACUUGAUGAUUCCAAAGAAUGUACUAGUAUCAAUUCCACUUGCAAAGAUCCACAGGAGCAAAGAAUACUGGGGAGAGGAUGCAAACGAGUUCAAUCCAAAUAGGUUUACGAAUGGGAUUUCCAAGGCAGCAAAACACCCAAAUGCUUUUCUCGCCUUUGGAAUGGGUCCAAGAACUUGUGUGGGGCAAAAUUUUGCUAUGCUGGAAGCAAAAGCAGUUCUUGCAAUGGUUCUUCAGAGGUUUUCUCUCUCCGUCAUCUGAUUAUAAACAUGCGCCAGUAGACAACAUAACUUUGCAGCCACAACAUGGCCUCCCCAUUGUCGUCAAGCCUUUGAACCCGAAGAACAUGUUGGGCUAUGGCAAGGCCUAAAUGGGAAAGAUGGUGUUGGUCUAUAGCUAAUCCAUGUGAAUUCUACAUGUACGAAUGACAAGGCCCAACAAGUCAUUUCAAUCAACAGCCCAUUUACACCUCUUAUGGGCCUUGUCAAGAAUUCAUAAAGCUAGAAGUAAAAUUUUCGAACUAAGUUGAAGCCCACCAUAGUAAAUACUAAAUAUAUAGCCCGAGUAGUCUUUACACGAUGUUUGAAAAAGGUUUUUUUGAAUGAUUUUGUAUUAAAAUGAAUUAUUUUUUGAGUCUCAACGGAAGUUAAUUAUAAAAAAGAAAAAAAAUAAAUUUAUGUGAAUAAUAUUAUUAAUUGAUUAUUUAUUACAUUGAAAAUGGUAGAUUUGAAUAUAAUCAUAUAUAGAAAUGAUGUGGGAUGUCUUCCUUUUUGGGAAUUCUUCCUAAAAUGUUCAUAUUUGCUGCCUGUUUAGGAUGUAAUUAUCGUCCUAAUAAAAAGAGGUUUGUAGAUAUAGAGUAUGUAUGAGAGAUUAGUGUUAGAGUUGGAGAAUGGAAAACAAAGAUCCUUGGUAUUAUGAUUUCAUGAAGGUAGGCAAUAGCGAGCAAGAAUCUGCGAAGAGUGGCGUCCCAACAAUUUCAGACAAUACCCCAUCUUACAACUUCAUCCAAAAACAAGCUUCUUCGUCUCAAGUUCAAGUUUAUGCAACUGAGAAGCAAUCCGAAGGAGGAGGCAAUGUGAAAAGUGGAAAUAUCCGUAACAUAUUGAAUAAUCCAAGGGCCAAAGAUUUUGCUCAAACAGUGUUGCGUAGAAGCCAGUGAUUUAUAUAUAUACUUAUGAUCCAACUCCAGGGCCUCAAAUUAUAUGGUAUAAUG
Molecule: unclassified non-coding RNA, 3966 nt
Filed under: Hevea brasiliensis (rubber tree)
Lineage: Eukaryota; Viridiplantae; Streptophyta; Magnoliopsida; Malpighiales; Euphorbiaceae
Source: RNAcentral